This 465-nucleotide ribosomal RNA is filed under the name Vreelandella stevensii. RNAcentral's name for it is "partial 16S ribosomal RNA". It matches the Rfam family "Bacterial small subunit ribosomal RNA", at positions 338 to 795 of the family's 1533-position model. Lineage: Bacteria; Pseudomonadati; Pseudomonadota; Gammaproteobacteria; Oceanospirillales; Halomonadaceae. The record is from RNAcentral.
CCUACGGGGGGCUGCAGUGGGGAAUAUUGGACAAUGGGGGGAACCCUGAUCCAGCCAUGCUGCGUGUGUGAAGAAGGCCCUCGGGUUGUAAAGCACUUUCAGUGAGGAAGAACGCCUGGUGGUUAAUACCCAUCAGGAAAGACAUCACUCACAGAAGAAGCACCGGCUAACUCCGUGCCAGCAGCCGCGGUAAUACGGAGGGUGCGAGCGUUAAUCGGAAUUACUGGGCGUAAAGCGCGCGUAGGUGGCUUGAUAAGCCGGUUGUGAAAGCCCCGGGCUCAACCUGGGAACGGCAUCCGGAACUGUCAAGCUAGAGUGCAGGAGAGGAAGGUAGAAUUCCCGGUGUAGCGGUGAAAUGCGUAGAGAUCGGGAGGAAUACCAGUGGCGAAGGCGGCCUUCUGGACUGACACUGACACUGAGGUGCGAAAGCGUGGGUAGCAAACAGGAUUAGAUACCCCAGUAGUC